AGUGAACGCUGGCGGCAGGCCUAACACAUGCAAGUCGAACGGCAGCACAGUAAGAGCUUGCUCUUACGGGUGGCGAGUGGCGGACGGGUGAGGAAUACAUCGGAAUCUACUUUUUCGUGGGGGAUAACGUAGGGAAACUUACGCUAAUACCGCAUACGACCUACGGGUGAAAGCAGGGGAUCUUCGGACCUUGCGCGAUUGAAUGAGCCGAUGUCGGAUUAGCUAGUUGGCGGGGUAAAGGCCCACCAAGGCGACGAUCCGUAGCUGGUCUGAGAGGGUGAUCAGCCACACUGGAACUGAGACACGGUCCAGACUCCUACGGGAGGCAGCAGUAGGGAAUAUUGGACAAUGGGCGCAAGCCUGACCCAGCCAUACCGCGUGGGUGAAGAAGGCCUUCGGGUUGUAAAGCCCUUUUGUUGGGGAAGAAAAGCAGCAGGUUAAUACCCGGCUGUUCUGACGGUACCCAAAGAAUAAGCACCGGCUAACUUCGUG
RNAcentral lists this ribosomal RNA (492 nucleotides) under uncultured bacterium. RNAcentral's name for it is "partial 16S ribosomal RNA". It matches the Rfam family "Bacterial small subunit ribosomal RNA", at positions 29 to 507 of the family's 1533-position model. The record is from RNAcentral.